Molecule: long non-coding RNA, 617 nt
Organism: Oncorhynchus keta (chum salmon)
Lineage: Eukaryota; Metazoa; Chordata; Actinopteri; Salmoniformes; Salmonidae
Exons: 3
Source: RefSeq, a predicted model, not a curated record
ACUAGAAAGACAAGGUUAAGACGACACUAGAAAGACAAGGUUAAGACGACACUAGAAAGACAAGGUUAAGACGACACUAGAAAGACAAGGUUAAGACGACACUAGAAAGACAAGGUUAAGACGACACUAGAAAGACAAGGUUAAGACGACACUAGAAAGACAAGGUUAAGACGACACUAGAAAGACAAGGUUAAGACGACACUAGAAAGACAAGGUUAAGACGACACUAGAAAGACAAGGUUAAGACGACACUAGAAAGACAAGGUUAAGACGACACUAGAAAGACAAGGUUAAGACGACACUAGAAAGACAAGCUUAAGACGACACUAGAAAGACAAGCUUAAGAUAAGACUCAAUUAGACCACUAAUACAUUGGCCUAACUCUUUGUAAGUGUUAGAGAAAGUACUCUGAGACUUACAAAGAUCCAACAGCAUACGCGGAGAUAAUUAGACACACAAGUGGUACACUCAACAAGUGGUAGAACAUGAAAGAAACAUCAACAGAGACACUGAGACAAGGCUGUGAAGAAGACAUGCAGACUCGGUCUACUUACAGAUGAGUGCACUGUUUUCCCUCUGCCACAGCAACGGCAGUCAAAGUUCCUGUCUUCCAGUCG